RNAcentral lists this ribosomal RNA (109 nucleotides) under Oncorhynchus tshawytscha (Chinook salmon). The record is from RNAcentral. Lineage: Eukaryota; Metazoa; Chordata; Actinopteri; Salmoniformes; Salmonidae.
GCUUACGACCACACCGGCCUGAGUACGCCUGAUCUCGGAAGCUAAGCAGGGUUGGGCCUGGUUAGUACUUGGAUGGGAGACUUCCUGGGAAUACCAGGUGCUGUAAGCU